This 1031-nucleotide ribosomal RNA is filed under the name uncultured bacterium. RNAcentral's name for it is "bacterial SSU rRNA". It matches the Rfam family "Bacterial small subunit ribosomal RNA", at positions 457 to 1501 of the family's 1533-position model. The record is from RNAcentral.
ACCGGUUACUGAUGGAAAGUUACUGUAUGGAUAGGACCCUUACCUCCGUGUCCAGCCAGCCGGCCGUAAUCCGGAGGGUCCGAACCGUUAUCCCGGAAUUCAUUGGGUUAAGGGUCGGUAGGCGGCCUCGUAAGUCAGUAGUGAAUCCAAUAGGCCUAACCUAUGACGGGCUAUUGAAACUGCGAAGCUAGAAUCUGAUGGAGGUGGGCCGAAUGUGUGUGUAGCGGUGAAUGCUUAGAUAUACACAGAACACCGAUCGCGAAGGCAGCUCACUAAGGAGCAAUUGACGCUAAUGCACGAAAGCGUGGGGAGCGAACAGGAUUAGAUACCCUGGUAGUCCACGCCGUAAACGAUGAUAACUGGUUGUCGGCGAUACACAGUCGGCGGCUGAGCGAAAAGUAUUAAGUUAUCCACCUGGGGAGUACGAUCGCAAGGUUGAAACUCAAAGGAAUUGACGGGGGCCCGCACAAGCGGUGGAGCAUGUGGUUUAAUUCGAUGAUACGCGAGGAACCUUACCUGGGCUCAAACGUAUAGUGCUUUUACGGGAAACCGUAUUUUCUUCGGACGCUAUACGAGGUGCUGCAUGGUUGUCGUCAGCUCGUGCCGUGAGGUGUCGGGUUAAGUCCCAUAACGAGCGCAACCCCUAUUCUUAGUUGCCAUCAGGUAAAGCUGGGGACUCUAAGGAAACUGCCGGCGCAAGCCGCGAGGAAGGUGGGGAUGACGUCAAAUCAGCACGGCCCUUAUGUCCAGGGCUACACACGUGCUACAAUGGUAGGUACAGAGGGCAGCUACAUGGUGACAUGGUGCGAAUCUCAAAAACUUAUCUCAGUUCGGAUCGAAGUCUGCAACUCGACUUCGUGAAGUUGGAAUCGCUAGUAAUCGCGUAUCAGCCAUGACGCGGUGAAUACGUUCCCGGGCCUUGUACACACCGCCCGUCAAGCCAUGGAAGCUGGGGGUGCCUAAAGUUCGUGACCGAGAGGAGCGGCCUAGGGUAAAACUAGUAACUGGGGCUAAGUCGUAACAAGGUAACC